GAUGAAGAACGUAGCGAAAUGCGAUAAGUAAUGUGAAUUGCAGAAUUCAGUGAAUCAUCGAAUCUUUGAACGCACAUUGCGCCCGCCAGUAUUCUGGCGGGCAUGCCUGUUCGAGCGUCAUUUCAACCAUCAAGCCCCAGGCUUGUGUUGGAGCCCUGCGGCUGCCGCAGCCUCCCAAAACCAGUGGCGGGCUCGCUAUCACACCGAGUGCAGUAGUUUACUCUUCGCUCAGGGCGUGUGGCGGGUGCUAGCCGUGAAACCCCCAACUUCUCAAGGUUGACCUCGGAUCAGGUAGGAAUACCCGCUGAACUUAAGCAUAUCAAUAAGCGGAGGA
This 334-nucleotide unclassified non-coding RNA is filed under the name soil metagenome. RNAcentral describes it as "partial contains 5.8S ribosomal RNA, internal transcribed spacer 2, and large subunit ribosomal RNA". The stretch from base 1 to 120 matches the Rfam family "5.8S ribosomal RNA", at positions 35 to 154 of the family's 154-position model. The record is from RNAcentral.